ACCGCUUCCGUCUCCCGCUUUGUCUUCCCACCCUCCCUUUCCUUUUUGGUUUCCUGGCUUACUCUCCAUCUCUUUUGGGAAUUUAAAUUUAAUCCUAUUCACGAAAUUAAGAUAGUGGCGACGGAGUGCCGUCCAUGGCUUUGACUCUUUUCUCUCUUUCCUUCUUCUCCUUUUUCACGUUCGUCUUCGUACAUUUCUAUGCCGUCCAUGCCAGGAUUCCGACGACUUUGGAUGGCCCUUUUGACCCCGUUACCGUCCCUUUUGAUCGGCGCCUCCGCGGCCACGCCGUCGAUUUGUCCGACACCGACCCCAGAGUUCGCCGGCGCGUCAGCGGAUACGAGCCGGAGCAGAUAUCGGUGUCGCUCUCUACGACUCACGACUCUGUCUGGAUUUCUUGGAUCACAGGGGAAUAUCAAAUUGGGAACAACAUAAAGCCGUUAGAUCCUGAAACUGUCUCUAGUGUUGUCCGCUUUGGCAAGUUAAGGUAUCCUUUAAGACAUGAGGCCACAGGUUAUUCUCUCGUUUAUAACCAGCUUUAUCCAUUUGAAGGCCUCCAGAACUACACUUCUGGAAUCAUUCAUCACGUGAGGCUUACAGGAUUAGAGUCUGACGCGCUAUACUACUAUAGAUGCGGUGAUCCCACCAUACCAGCCAUGAGCAAAAUCCAUUCUUUCACAACAAUGCCAGUUUCUGGUCCGCGGAGCUACCCAAAAAGAAUAGCCAUUGUAGGAGAUCUGGGUCUUACAUUCAAUACCACUACCACCAUCGAUCACAUGAUUAGCAACAAACCAAAUCUUGUGCUUUUGGUUGGCGAUGUAACAUAUGCAAACCUGUACCUUACAAAUGGAACCGGUUCCGAUUGUUACUCUUGCUCCUUUCGAAAUACUCCAAUUCAUGAGACCUAUCAGCCCCGCUGGGAUUACUGGGGAAGGUUUAUGCAGAAUUUAGUUUCCAAAGUUCCAAUUAUGGUUGUAGAAGGGAACCAUGAGAUUGAAGAACAGGCAGGGAACCAGACGUUUGUGGCUUAUAGUUCUCGUUUUGCAUUUCCCUCAAAGGAAAGUGGAUCCCCUUCGACGUUCUACUACUCCUUCAAUGCAGGGGGUAUACAUUUCAUCAUGCUUGGUGCCUACAUUGCCUAUAAUAAAUCAGCGGAGCAAUACAAGUGGCUGGAGAAGGACUUGGGCAAUGUAGACCGAUCUGUAACCCCAUGGGUGGUUGCAGCAUGGCACCCACCUUGGUAUAGCAGCUACGAAGCUCAUUACAGAGAAGCAGAGUGCAUGAGGGUGGCAAUGGAGGAGCUGCUCUACUCAUAUGGUGUGGACAUUGUCUUCAACGGUCAUGUUCAUGCGUACGAGAGGUCAAACAGAGUGUAUAACUACACGCUGGAUGAGUGUGGUCCGGUAUACAUCACAGUAGGAGAUGGGGGGAACCGAGAGAAGAUGGCAGUGGGGCAUGCAGAUGAGCCUGGUCACUGCCCACAACCAUGGACUACUCCUGACAGCCACAUCGGCGGCUUCUGCGCUACCAAUUUCACUUCUGGCCCCGCUGCAGGCAAUUUCUGUUGGGACCGCCAACCCGAUUACAGUGCCUACAGAGAAAGCAGCUUCGGCCAUGGCAUCCUUGAGGUGAAGAAUGAGACAUGGGCGCUGUGGACAUGGCACCGGAACCAGGAGUCCUACAAUAAGGUUGGGGAUCAAAUUUACAUAGUGAGGCAGCCGCAUUUAUGCCCCACCCGUCCAUCUACGUCUGCAGGUGGUACUUUUAAGUUCAUGAUGUGGCGUUGGUUCGCUGCCGCUAGAUGAGAAGAUGAUACAUCAAUAUCCAUGUCCUGUCAUCUCACUUUGUUAAAGCUCGAUAUACAGCCCAUAGCGUAACAACUUAACUUUUAGGUUGCAUGUGCGGGAGAGUGUUAAAGCUUGAUAUACAUUGUUGGCUCACAACCUAAUAGCUUAAACUUUUAGGUAAAGUGCUAAUAUAACACACUUCACUAGACGAUUCCUUCCUUCUUUGUUUCCUGAGUUCAUGGCAUGCAAGUGAGCUAGUUUACGGAAUGCUCAACACGAGAAAUUAUACAAGGAUCUUUCCCUCCACAUGAAGUGUAUGAGUAAGGAAACAGACACAUGGACACAUGAAGAGGGAGGUUCCUUAUAUAAUUUCUCUCAACUUGAAGGUCUCGAGGGUGGCAUCUACCAAAUUCAAUUUUAUUUUUCAUUUUUAAACUUAGUAGAUGAUUGAAUGAUUGUGGAGAGAUUUGCAGGACGUUGUGUUGCACCGGGUGGUGUCAAAAGAGGAAAACAUGAACAUGUAUAGAGCACAAAAUUGUUUGUGGGUUCACAAAGGCCCUUAUAGAAUAUGCAUAUCUAAGAAGCAUAAAAGAAUUUCUCUUUCACACUCUCAAAA
Molecule: RNA transcript, 2400 nt
Organism: Malania oleifera
Lineage: Eukaryota; Viridiplantae; Streptophyta; Magnoliopsida; Santalales; Ximeniaceae
Gene name: purple acid phosphatase 15-like
Exons: 9
Source: RefSeq, a predicted model, not a curated record